ACGGUGAGGGAUGAAAGCUGGGGGAGCAAACCGGAUUAGAUACCCGGGUAGUCCCAGCUGUAAACUAUGCAAACUCAGUGAUGCAUUGGCUCGUGGCCAAUGCAGUGCUGCAGGGAAGCCGUUAAGUUUGCCGCCUGGGAAGUACGUACGCAAGUAUGAAACUUAAAGGAAUUGGCGGGGGAGCACCACAAGGGGUGAAGCCUGCGGUUCAAUUGGAGUCAACGCCU
RNAcentral lists this ribosomal RNA (227 nucleotides) under uncultured crenarchaeote. Its description in RNAcentral is "partial 16S ribosomal RNA". It matches the Rfam family "Archaeal small subunit ribosomal RNA", at positions 694 to 920 of the family's 1478-position model. The record is from RNAcentral. Lineage: Archaea; Thermoproteati; Thermoproteota.